This 720-nucleotide ribosomal RNA is filed under the name uncultured bacterium. Its description in RNAcentral is "bacterial SSU rRNA". It matches the Rfam family "Bacterial small subunit ribosomal RNA", at positions 53 to 818 of the family's 1533-position model. The record is from RNAcentral.
ACAUGCAAGUCGAGCGCCCAGCAAUGGGAGCGGCGGACGGGUGAGUAACGCGUGGGAAUUUUUCCUGGAGUACGGAACAACCGAGGGAAACUUCGGCUAAUACCGUAUGAUAUCGAGAGAUCAAAGAUUUAUCGCUCUGGGGUGAGCCCGCGUCAGAUUAGGUAGUUGGUGGGGUAACGGCCUACCAAGCCUGCGAUCUGUAGCUGGUCUGAGAGGACGAUCAGCCACACUGGGACUGAGACACGGCCCAGACUCCUACGGGAGGCAGCAGUGGGGAAUCUUGCGCAAUGGGCGAAAGCCUGACGCAGCCAUGCCGCGUGAGUGAAGAAGGUCUUAGGAUUGUAAAGCUCUUUCGCUCGUGACGAUGAUGACGGUAACGAGAGAAGAAGCCCCGGCUAACUUCGUGCCAGCAGCCGCGGUAAUACGAAGGGGGCUAGCGUUGUUCGGAAUUACUGGGCGUAAAGCGCGCGUAGGCGGUUUUGCAAGCCAGAGGUGAAAUGCCUGAGCUCAACUUAGGAAUUGCCUUUGGGACUGCGAGGCUUUGAGGACUGGAGAGGUGAGUGGAAUUCCCAGUGUAGAGGUGAAAUUCGUAGAUAUUGGGGAAGAACACCGGUGGCGAAGGCGGCUCACUGGCCAGUUUCUGACGCUGCAGCGCGAAAGCGUGGGGGAUCAAACAGGAUUAGAUACCCUGGUAGUCCACGCUGUAAACGAUGAGUGCUA